This 420-nucleotide ribosomal RNA is filed under the name uncultured Nitrososphaerota archaeon. RNAcentral describes it as "bacterial SSU rRNA". It matches the Rfam family "Archaeal small subunit ribosomal RNA", at positions 459 to 879 of the family's 1478-position model. The record is from RNAcentral. Lineage: Archaea; Thermoproteati; Nitrososphaerota.
CAGCCGCCGCGGUAACACCAGCCCCUCGAGUGGUGGGGAUGAUUAUUUGGCCUAAAGCGUCCGUAGCUGGCCCUGUAAAUCUCUCGUUAAAUCCAACGUCCUAAGCGUUGGGCUGCGAGAGAGACUGCAGAGCUAGAGGGUGGGAGAGGUUAGCGGUAUUCUGGGGGUAGGGGCGAAAUCCUUUGAUCCCCGGAGGACCACCAGUGGCGAAGGCUGCUGACUAGAACACGUCUGACGGUCAGGGACGAAAGCUGGGGUAGCGAACCGGAUUAGAUACCCGGGUAGUCCCAGCUGUAAACUAUGCAAACUCAGUGAUGCAUUGGCUUGAUGCCAAUGCAGUGCUGCAGGGAAGCCGUUAAGUUUGCCGCCUGGGAAGUACGUACGCAAGUAUGAAACUAAAAGGAAUUGGCGGGGGAGCAC